RNAcentral lists this ribosomal RNA (465 nucleotides) under uncultured bacterium. RNAcentral describes it as "partial 16S ribosomal RNA". It matches the Rfam family "Bacterial small subunit ribosomal RNA", at positions 28 to 507 of the family's 1533-position model. The record is from RNAcentral.
GACGAACGCUGGCGGCGUGCUUAACACAUGCAAGUCGAACGGAAAGGCCCUGCUUGCUGGGUACUCGAGUGGCGAACGGGUGAGUAACACGUGGGUGCUCUGCACUGUACUUCGGGAUAAGCCUGGGCAACUGGAAAUAAUACCGAAUACGAGCCAUUUUUAGCGUGUUGGUUGGAAAGUUUUUUCGGUGUAGGAUGAGCUCGCGGCCUAUCAGCUUGUUGGUGGGGUAAUGGCCUACCAAGGCGGCGACGGGUAGCCGGCCUGCGGGGGUGGGCGGCCACAUUGGGACUGAGAGGCGGCCCAGACUGCGACGGGUGGCAGCAGGGGGGAAGAUUGCACAAGCAGCGCAGGCCUGAUGCAGCGAGGCCGCGUGGGGGAGGACGGCCUUCUGGUUGUAAACUCCUUUCGCUAGGGACGAAGCUUGUUGUGACGGUACCUAGAGAAGAAGCACCGGCUAACUACGUG